This 253-nucleotide ribosomal RNA is filed under the name uncultured bacterium. RNAcentral describes it as "partial 16S ribosomal RNA". It matches the Rfam family "Bacterial small subunit ribosomal RNA", at positions 524 to 776 of the family's 1533-position model. The record is from RNAcentral.
UACGUAGGGGGCGAGCGUUGUCCGCAGUUACUGGGCGUAAAGCGCGUGUAGGCGGGUCUUUAAGUGGGGGGUGAAAGGUUUGGGCUUAACCCAGACACUGCCUUUCAUACUGGAGACCUUGAGUGCGGGAGAGGCGAGUGGAAUGGUCGGUGUAGCGGUGAAAUGCGUAGAUAUCGAUCGGAACACCCAUGGCGAAGGCAGCUCGCUGGCCUGUAACUGACGCUGAGACGCGAAAGCGUGGGGAGCAAACAGG